RNAcentral lists this ribosomal RNA (253 nucleotides) under uncultured bacterium. RNAcentral describes it as "partial 16S ribosomal RNA". It matches the Rfam family "Bacterial small subunit ribosomal RNA", at positions 524 to 776 of the family's 1533-position model. The record is from RNAcentral.
UACGUAGGGGGCAAGCGUUAUCCGGAAUUAUUGGGCGUAAAGAGCGUGUAGGCGGUCCGGUAAGUCAGCUGUGAAAGUCAAGGGCUCAACCCUUGAAUGCCGGUUGAUACUGUCGGGCUAGAGUCCGGAAGAGGCGAGUGGAAUUCCCGGUGUAGCGGUGAAAUGCGCAGAUAUCGGGAGGAACACCAACGGCGAAAGCACUCUGCUGGGCCGACACUGACACUGAGAGACGAAAGCUAGGGGAGCGAAUGGG